AUUGAACGCUGGCGGCAUGCCUUACACAUGCAAGUCGAACGGUAACGGGCCUUCGGGUGCCGACGAGUGGCGAACGGGUGAGUAAUACAUCGGAACGUGCCCGAUCGUGGGGGAUAACGAGGCGAAAGCUUUGCUAAUACCGCAUACGAUCUACGGAUGAAAGCAGGGGACCGCAAGGCCUUGCGCGGACGGAGCGGCCGAUGGCAGAUUGGGUAGUUGGUGGGAUAAAAGCUUACCAAGCCGACGAUCUGUAGCUGGUCUGAGAGGAUGAUCAGCCACACUGGGACUGAGACACGGCCCAGACUCCUACGGGAGGCAGCAGUGGGGAAUUUUGGACAAUGGGCGCAAGCCUGAUCCAGCCAUGCCGCGUGCAGGAUGAAGGCCUUCGGGUUGUAAACUGCUUUUGUACGGAACGAAAAGCCUUCUUUUAAUACAGGAGGGUCAUGACGGUACCGGAAGAAUAAGCACCGGCUAACUACGUG
This 482-nucleotide ribosomal RNA is filed under the name uncultured bacterium. Its description in RNAcentral is "partial 16S ribosomal RNA". It matches the Rfam family "Bacterial small subunit ribosomal RNA", at positions 30 to 507 of the family's 1533-position model. The record is from RNAcentral.